AGGGUUGUAGCUCAGUGGUAGAAUAUUUACUUUGUAUGCAGAAUGUCCCAGGUUCAAUUCCUGGCAUCUCCA
RNAcentral lists this transfer RNA (72 nucleotides) under Podarcis lilfordi (Lilford's wall lizard). It matches the Rfam family "tRNA". Rfam says of the family: Transfer RNA (tRNA) molecules are approximately 80 nucleotides in length. Their secondary structure includes four short double-helical elements and three loops (D, anti-codon, and T loops). The record is from Rfam by way of RNAcentral. Lineage: Eukaryota; Metazoa; Chordata; Lepidosauria; Squamata; Lacertidae.